CCUACGGGGGGCAGUGGGGAAUAUUGGACAAUGGGCGAAAGCCUGAUCCAGCCAUGCCGCGUGUGUGAAGAAGGCCUUCGGGUUGUAAAGCACUUUCAGUGGGGAAGAAAGCCUUGGGGCUAAUACCCUCGAGGAAGGACAUCACCCACAGAAGAAGCACCGGCUAACUCCGUGCCAGCAGCCGCGGUAAUACGGAGGGUGCGAGCGUUAAUCGGAAUUACUGGGCGUAAAGCGCGCGUAGGCGGUCUGAUAAGCCGGUUGUGAAAGCCCCGGGCUCAACCUGGGAACGGCAUCCGGAACUGUCAGGCUAGAGUGCAGGAGAGGAAGGUAGAAUUCCCGGUGUAGCGGUGAAAUGCGUAGAGAUCGGGAGGAAUACCAGUGGCGAAGGCGGCCUUCUGGACUGACACUGACGCUGAGGUGCGAAAGCGUGGGUAGCAAACAGGAUUAGAUACCCUAGUAGUC
Molecule: ribosomal RNA, 462 nt
Filed under: Vreelandella stevensii
Lineage: Bacteria; Pseudomonadati; Pseudomonadota; Gammaproteobacteria; Oceanospirillales; Halomonadaceae
Description: partial 16S ribosomal RNA
Rfam family: Bacterial small subunit ribosomal RNA
Source: RNAcentral